CAGAGCCCGCCAGCUGCUAAGCCAGGGCCACACCUGGGGGUGAUCUCAUGCCUCGCCUCCAGUAGGCUCCUUGGUCUCUUUGGGCUAAUGUCUGGCUCCCUUGUACUAACUCUUGUUCUCACCCAGCUAAUCCCUGCCUCUCCCUGGCUGCCCCAGGGGCUGAUCACUAACAGCCAACCCUGCCCAUCUAAGGAGGGGGUGUGUGUGCGCCCCCUCUGCCAGCUCCCGGGCCUGGCUUUGGCCAGCUGUCACUGACCUUCCCCUUCCCCUUGGACUAACUCCUGCCUUCCUGGUCUGUUCCUUUCAGCAGAAACCAAUGGCUGCAGAUGUCUUUCUGACUAACAACAGGUCUCACACGCCCCGGGACCAUGGCCAUUAACAGCUUGGAUGGCGGCAUGGCUGGG
This 404-nucleotide long non-coding RNA is filed under the name Jaculus jaculus (lesser Egyptian jerboa). RNAcentral's name for it is "Myocardial infarction associated transcript exon 5 conserved region 3 (ENSJJAG00000007387.1)". It matches the Rfam family "Myocardial infarction associated transcript exon 5 conserved region 3". Rfam says of the family: MIAT (myocardial infarction associated transcript), also known as RNCR2 (retinal non-coding RNA 2) or Gomafu, is a noncoding RNA. Single nucleotide polymorphisms (SNPs) in MIAT are associated with a risk of myocardial infarction. It is expressed in neurons, and located in the nucleus. Lineage: Eukaryota; Metazoa; Chordata; Mammalia; Rodentia; Dipodidae. The record is from RNAcentral.